GAUGAACGCUGGCGGCGUGCCUAAUACAUGCAAGUCGAGCGAACAGACGAGGAGCUUGCUCCUCUGACGUUAGCGGCGGACGGGUGAGUAACACGUGGAUAACCUACCUAUAAGACUGGGAUAACUUCGGGAAACCGGAGCUAAUACCGGAUAAUAUAUUGAACCGCAUGGUUCAAUAGUGAAAGACGGUUUUGCUGUCACUUAUAGAUGGAUCCGCGCUGCAUUAGCUAGUUGGUAAGGUAACGGCUUACCAAGGCGACGAUGCGUAGCCGACCUGAGAGGGUGAUCGGCCACACGGGAACUGAGACACGGUCCAGACUCCUACGGGAGGCAGCAGUAGGGAAUCUUCCGCAAUGGGCGAAAGCCUGACGGAGCAACGCCGCGUGAGUGAUGAAGGUCUUCGGAUCGUAAAACUCUGUUAUUAGGGAAGAACAAAUGUGUAAGUAACUGUGCACGUCUUGACGGUACCUAAUCAGAAAGCCACGGCUAACUACGUG
RNAcentral lists this ribosomal RNA (497 nucleotides) under uncultured bacterium. RNAcentral describes it as "partial 16S ribosomal RNA". It matches the Rfam family "Bacterial small subunit ribosomal RNA", at positions 28 to 507 of the family's 1533-position model. The record is from RNAcentral.